This 3475-nucleotide long non-coding RNA is filed under the name Olea europaea subsp. europaea. The record is from RNAcentral. Lineage: Eukaryota; Viridiplantae; Streptophyta; Magnoliopsida; Lamiales; Oleaceae.
AAGAUUAUUCAUAUGUUGAUAGCUAUACUAGCACCAUUGGAGUAGAUUUUGUGAAUUUUAUUCUCAUAAUCCUUUAUAUAUGUUGAUGAGAUUACAAAAUAGUUUAGUUAUUUUCAGGUCUUUGGCUAUGUUUUUAUUGAGGUCUAAUGUUAUUAUCCAUAAUUACUGCAAAAAAUUAGGACUGUGGAGCUGGAUAGGAAGACAAUUAAGCUGCAAAAUGUGAGUUCAUUUGACUUGAUGACUACUCUAUAGUUGUGAACAUGAGUUAAUUUGACCAAAUGACUACUUUAUAGUUGUGAAAUUAUAAAAACAUCUAUAUGAAUAUUAUUUUAGUUGUAUGUACUAUUCCUUUACGAUGGUUUUGCUACAUGUAAGCUGUGCUUCAAGCAAAUAAAUUUCGAAAGGGAAAAAAAUGUUUUGGUUUGAGGUUGUGAGGAUAGUUAGGACUCAAUAUUUUUCAUAUUUUUAGUCUAGAUUUAAUUGAUUGAGUUACAAUUGACAUUUCUUGCUAUCGAUAUGGAAUGAUUGGCUAUUAGUCUUCCUUUUUUCCCCCCCCUGUAUGUUUAUCGCUCUUAGUUUUGUCUUUGAGAUGAAGCAAACAGAGAUGGGCAUUUUUCGACAAUCGUAAAGAUUUAUUGCAGAGAUGAAAGUUGUAAUAAACCUCUUGUUAACUUUUGCCAUAAUGGCUGCAUUUGGUAUGAAUUUCCCUGAGAUAUGAAGGCCCUUUGCUCAAAUAUAUCAGAUCCAAUGUAUUGAUGUACAUAAAAUAUUCAUAUCUGUUCUCUACUUUUUGCUUCUAUUGUGGAGAAGCGCAAGAUUGAAAGUGGUUUGUAAGAAUUUUUUUAUUUCUAAUUCAUGUUUCAUAAAAUUUUACGGGAUGUAUUUGCGCAACUUACUCGCAAAUGUGAAAGACACAUUGGCACCCAAUCUGAGGAAUGGGCCAGGUACUCUGAAUUCUGCCCGAAGUUUCUAGGAAUCACCUGUUUUGAAAUUUCUAUAAACAUUUCAAGAAUUGUUAGAUUGAAAUGGUGGCUGUACUUGUUAAUAUGUAAUGCUUGUUUCUUGUAAUCCUUGUAAUAUUUUUGUUAUCACGGUGAAGGUAUGUAUUUAUUUAGAACUUAAAUUUUGUAUUGAAGAAAAUAUUUUUUAAAAGCCAACCACAUGCAUAUUUGUGUUAUAUCUUUGCAUUGUUGAUGCCGUUGUGUGGUUCUUUUACUUGCCAGCAUUUAUAUGCCUUAUUUAGUUGAUCUUGGACGUUCUUACAUGUCCGCUGCAAGUGUCAUGUUCUAUCGGUUUCUAACAUUGCCACAGGAAUUUUUGGAAGAAAAACAAUAUAAUGCUGAAUAAAUCGAGAAAAUCAUUGUAGAAAAGUGUUAGUUUGAAGCUAGUUUGCCAAUUCUCCCUUUUCCUUGGAUGUGCUGAAAGCAGGUACGCAUUUUAAGUUACAACGUGUGAUUUCCUGUUCAAUUUAAACAUAUUGGUAUUUGAAUGGCAUCAGAAUAUGUAACUUGUUAUCCUUCUUAUUUUCUGGUUUAUAUAACUUGGAUGCUGGGAAUUAGAUUGUUUCAGCAACAAUAUCCUUUUUAUUAUUUUAAUCAAUGAGAAUUUGGUGGUCUUUCCUUCAGAUUGGGUGCUUUUAAUCAGUUAGAAACAUUUAAACACGUUCUUUAGGAUCUCUAGCGAAGGAGUUGUUGGUUGAAAGAAUUUGAGCAUUCUGAUCAUUUGGUCGUCAAUACGACAAUGGAGGCAUGUGGAGAUCUACCAAUAGGAGAGACGAGUCAUUGUCUGCCUUUCGUUGUAUGGCAAUGCGUGUAUGUGCAUUGCAUAUCUUUUCAUUUGCUGAUUAAAUAUCUGUCUGUACACAGACCUCUCUUUGUUGUACAUUAUAUGUUUUUGCUUUUGUUCAUUUUGUGAAAAAUUAUACAUUAUUAUAUUUUUAUAUCUUCGUUAUUACAUAGUCAACUAUACCGUAUCACGUGCCUUGCACGUGCAUCUUACUAGUAAGGGAGUUUUAGUUACUGUUCAUAAGCCGAAUGGCCAUAAAAACCAAGCGUUGUUCGAGUCAGCUGGUUAGCCAAGUCGUGGGAGUGGGUGGGUGUAAAAAGAUCUUCCGCUGGAUUGUCUAGAACAUUCGUUUCUUCUUAUUUCUCUCUGGGGUUUUCUAUGUUCUCUCUUGGGUAUCUCAUCUGGCUUCUUUUUCCUUUGUAGAUAUUUAUGGUUUAGUAAAUGGAGAUGAUAAUAAUAAUAAUUUGUGGUUGCGUUGUUUCUCUAGAUCUAUGAUUGUUAAUUACAGAUCUUUUAGUGACAAGAACACUCCAAUUUUUUGCCAAUCGAAAAAGAAGAUGAUGAUUUUGACCUACCCACAAAAGGCUCAGGCGUGGGCCGAUGGUUGAUGAGAAAAAGAUGAAGCCCAAGAACAAUACCUAGUGCCAUGUCGAUGAUGAGAUUGAGGAUUUCUCUCAGGAGGAGGAUAGGCCCUUUGGUAUCAAAAAUUCAAUUUUUGUCUUUGUUUAAGCUUUUAUUUUUUGUCGAAUAUAUGGAAAUGUGGAAAAUGAUAUGAUUUUGCAAUUCUCCAGUAUUUUCUAUUUUUGUUGUUUUAUAUGACAUUUUAGGUUGGUUAGUUCAACAACAAGGAUCUCUGUGAAGGGGAAAUAAAUUUUUUUAUUUCAUUUGGUUAGGAACUAUUAGAUUUGAAAUGGGAUGUGUGAAUAAAUGUUAGUUUUAGUUUACCAAUAGUCCGUGUUAUAUUGAGAUCACUUAAUGAAAUAAUUUUUUUUUUGUCAUUUGGUUAGGAACUAUUAGACAACUAUUAGAUUUGAAAUGGGCUAUGUGAAUAAAUGUUAGUUUUAGUUUACCUCUCCUCCGUGUUAUAUUAAGAUCACUUAAUUAACUCUAAUAUACACGAUCAUCUUUAGUUCUAUGCAAAAAAAUUCCAAUCUCAUGUAGCUCUUGCCUCUUUAGCGUGUGUUUUGUUCUUUUAUAUUCCAGGCAACUGCAUUAAAAUUUAGUGAAAGUAUGAUUUUCAUUGCAGUUGGCAAUUGCUAUUCUUAAAGGAGAACUUGAACUGCCACUGUCACUUUGAAUAAGUAGUAUUUGCGUUUUGAAAUACAGUAAUACUGCCAUUAGACACGGUUAGUGCAAAAUUUGUCCUUGUGAGUGUCGAUUGAUAUGCAGAAGACAAUAUAAUGUUUGGGAGAACCUCAAAAUAUGCUUAGCACAGAUAAUGCUUUUAGCAAUCUGAUGUCCUUUAUAUUUUUCUGUCUUGAUUAUGUGCCAAAAGUGCUACUUUUAUAUAUUGUUGUUAAUGGCCAAUGAUUUUUCUGUACUUUCUCUCAUGGAGCAAAGGGCAUGGAUUGCAUUUUCAUUUCUCUCCUUUUUUUUUUUCCCCUUAAAUUAAUCUUAAGAGGAGCUUGUUUACUUAGAAAGUGUUCUUAACAGAUGAAGAAAUUGGGAAUUUUCUUUAUACACGUCAGAU